Molecule: long non-coding RNA, 291 nt
Organism: Vidua chalybeata
Lineage: Eukaryota; Metazoa; Chordata; Aves; Passeriformes; Viduidae
Exons: 2
Source: RefSeq, a predicted model, not a curated record
CCAAGAUGAAAUUGUAUCAGAUGGAUCUGGACUGGCAACAUAAAGAUGAGAUGUGGGACAGUAAUGUGGAAGAUGCACCAAGUGAAAUGUCGGGUCUGAUGGUCCAGCAAAGUAAAACCCCAAGAGAGGAUUGUUCCCAAUCUAGCAAGCUGCUAUCAGCCUGCAUUGCUUGCAGCCCAGCCUGGCUCAUCACGCAGCAGCAAGGAACAGCAGCCAGCGUCUGUCUGGUCAGCCUUACAUAUGAAUGAAAGGAAUGCAGCCUCCUUCCGCUGCCUUCCACCCCCCACCUGC